GGAGUUUAAUUUUUCAAUUGUGAAAAGAAGUUUUUCCUUGUUUUUCAGUUAUAACAAGUCUUUUACUUAAAAACUACUGUAGUAUAGUAUAUCCGUGAUUUUCAGUUCAAGUCUUUUCCUGACUUCAUCUUCAAUAUAAUGUUUAGCUGCAAAUUGGAGAAAAAAGCUUGUUGCUUCCAUAUGAAGGAACAUGCUCAUAAGGUUGCUAAUGAUACCAUGAUGAUGGAGUUUGUCAAGUGUGAAAAGAUGUUUCUUUUUCCUGUACGUUUUUCAAUUACAACAAGUCUUUCGUGAUUUCAUCUUCUAUAUAAUGUUUAGCUCCAAAUUGGAGAAAAGAGCUUGUUGCUUCCAUACGAAGGAACAUGCUCAUCAAGUUGCUCUUGUAUCAUGAUGAUGGAGUUUGUCAAGUGUGAAAAGUACAAGUCUUUUACUUGUAAGCUAGUAUGAUACAUGUGUAAUACUCAGAUUAUAUUAGAAGAAACUCGCACAAUGCAU
Molecule: long non-coding RNA, 495 nt
Filed under: Capsicum annuum
Lineage: Eukaryota; Viridiplantae; Streptophyta; Magnoliopsida; Solanales; Solanaceae
Description: long non-coding RNA (CANN_LNC017614)
Source: RNAcentral